RNAcentral lists this long non-coding RNA (720 nucleotides) under Daphnia pulex (common water flea). RNAcentral describes it as "uncharacterized LOC124195700, transcript variant X2". Lineage: Eukaryota; Metazoa; Arthropoda; Branchiopoda; Diplostraca; Daphniidae. The record is from RNAcentral.
CUUGUUCUUGGUAAGUUUUGCUUUAUAAAUAAUUCCUGUAUGAUUCAUGAACUGAUUUUAAAUUAUGCAGAUUACAAAGAUGGGGUAACCCCAAACAAAAAGUAUCGGAAAAAAAACCACCUCUCCAUUAUCAAACAAUGGAUGCCAUAAACAACCAGAAGAGAAACUUGAUGGUCGAACAACAUCUGAUGUGAACAGUGCUGAAGUCACUCUUGCUGGAGAGAAUGGUCUGGAACACACAACCCAAGGAACAAGAGAUCCCGUUUCUGCCUAAGACUGUUAUCUGGUAAAGGUAAUAUGUGUUACUUGUGUGAACAUCUCGAAAAGAUUCACUUGGACAUUGGAGUAUAUGUCAAGGCAAACAGUAAUUGAAAGAAUGUCCGCAAGAAAGAAGAAAAUUUAAAUGAAAUCAAAAGUGCUGAAACAAAAAAUUCAACGGAAAGAACUUGUUGUCAAGAAUCUUCGACUAGCAAUUAAAAAUGUCAGGAAAAAUGUCACUGCUGCUUGCGAAAAGGCAAUAAGUAAUCAGUUUCUUGGGCUUAACGACCAGGUAUAUCAUGCUCCCAAUUACUAUUCCCCUCUAUGACGAGUACGUUUGUUAGAUUCCAAAAUUUUAACUAUUUUUCUACCAAUGACCAAUAAUAACGACAACACUACUUAUUUUUUUAAAUUUCUUUGAUUGAAAUCAAUAAAUUGUAAUUGAUUUUACGUUAUUACAAA